This 253-nucleotide ribosomal RNA is filed under the name uncultured bacterium. RNAcentral's name for it is "partial 16S ribosomal RNA". It matches the Rfam family "Bacterial small subunit ribosomal RNA", at positions 524 to 776 of the family's 1533-position model. The record is from RNAcentral.
UACGGAGGAUCCAAGCGUUAUCCGGAAUCAUUGGGUUUAAAGGGUCCGCAGGCGGUCAAUUAAGUCAGAGGUGAAAUCCCAUAGCUUAACUGUGGCACUGCCUUUGAUACUGUUAGUCUUGAGUCAUUUGGAAGUAGAUAGAAUGUGUAGUGUAGCGGUGAAAUGCAUAGAUAUCUGGAAGAACACCAAUGGCGAAGGCAGUCUACUACGAAUGUACUGACGCUGAUGGACGAAAGCGUGGGUAGCGAACAGG